UACGUAGGGCGCAAGCGUUGUCCGGAAUUAUUGGGCGUAAAGGGCGCGUAGGCGGCCAGCGCAAGUCAGUUGUGAAAUCUCCGGGCUUAACUCGGAAAGGUCAACUGAUACUGCGCGGCUAGAGUGCAGAAGGGGCAACUGGAAUUCUCGGUGUAGCGGUGAAAUGCGUAGAUAUCGAGAGGAACACCUGCGGCGAAGGCGGGUUGCUGGGCUGACACUGACGCUGAUGCGCGAAAGCCAGGGGAGCGAACGGG
This 254-nucleotide ribosomal RNA is filed under the name uncultured bacterium. RNAcentral describes it as "partial 16S ribosomal RNA". It matches the Rfam family "Bacterial small subunit ribosomal RNA", at positions 524 to 776 of the family's 1533-position model. The record is from RNAcentral.